AACAAAACUACUAUAGCAGCCUCCACCGUCCUCCAGUGGCACCGUCAAUAGCAGCUCGCGCUAGAAUCGCACUCUCCUUCCGUCAUCAGACUGUCGACGAACCGGGCCUUCUAUCUCUCCCUAGAAACUACUCCAAUUGAGGUCGCUGCACUUUCGGUUUGUUGUUUUUGUGGAAAAGUAAUGCUAGAUGGGCACGAUGUUAAUGUUUUUACAAUGCUAAUAAAGGUUGUUUUUUGAUGACAGCAUCCGCAAUUUACAGAUUGCUAAACGCUUAGGCCUCCACACAGUUGCGGGAUUCACAUAUGGCUUUAUCUUCAUGGAGGAGAACUGGAAUUUUCUUGUGCACAGGGUUGGACUUAAGAAGAAGUUCACUUUUGGGAUUCAAGGUCUCUUCAACAAACUCGUAAUCUACACCCUUGAGGUUAAGGGCUAUCUGCACCCUUAGGGCAAAAGGGCUGAACCACCCACCCAAAAGCUUCAACUCGUUUUUAGCCAUCACUAUGCAGCAGCAAUGU
Molecule: long non-coding RNA, 515 nt
Organism: Vigna unguiculata (cowpea)
Lineage: Eukaryota; Viridiplantae; Streptophyta; Magnoliopsida; Fabales; Fabaceae
Source: RefSeq, a predicted model, not a curated record